RNAcentral lists this long non-coding RNA (610 nucleotides) under Marmota monax (woodchuck). The record is from RNAcentral. Lineage: Eukaryota; Metazoa; Chordata; Mammalia; Rodentia; Sciuridae.
UGCUGAGUCACGUGACAGGUGGCGGCUGGGGGCUCCAUCCUCCACAGAGAACGGGGAGGGGGUCCUCCGCAGCCCCUUAUCCCUCCCCCACCCCAACGAGCUAAAUCCUCCAGGGUGUCGGAGCCCACGUGGGCCAGAAGCCCUCUCCCGCCCGCCCAGGGAGGCAGGGGAGCCGGUGGGUGGGGCAGCCGUGAGCAUCUCCCAGGUGCAAGGUCGGCCCAGAGGCCCUGGCCCCGGAGCCUCCAGGCAGACCCAGGGCACCAGCAGGGAGGGCACCGCAGCAGGCAGUGGCACAAAGCCGGUCCCUGCCCGCACACCUGGAACCCACGCGCCCGUCUGACCCAGCACCUGCUUGGCCCCACAGGUAUGCCUGGGGUGGACACAGUGGCAAGGCAGGUGGCAGGCCCCCGGGCACAGCUCUGUGCCUGAGGAGGAGUGGGAGCACGAGGUCCCCCAGGAUGAUGCGUAGCAUCUGAUCACUGUCGUCGGCAGUGGAGGGUGGUUUCGUCCCUGGGAGGCAGAGGGGACAUCCGUGACGGUGAACACCUGCUCGACCCCUGCCCGUGGUCAAGUCCCCUCCCCUUUCUGGGCACUGCUUUCCUCAUUGGUA